UCCGCCAGCACCCGGUCGCUAGGGCUCGGGCCACUUGAUAUAGGUGGAUGACAGAUGAUGUCCGCUAAUCGCGGAGAGCCGUUAGAGGCGACUCGUGGGCGAUUUUGGGCGCUCUCCGACGAGGAGGCCACGGUGAGCUCCGAUGAGGAGGCGGAUUCCGUCAGUUCAUCGUCAGCCAUCACCGGGGAGUCACCGUAUCUCGUCCGCGAGCCGGCGUCGAGGAUUUGUACGCUGGUGGAGGAGAAUAUCUCUGCGUUGCGUAGACGUGAAGAUAAGAAGAGGCGACAAAGACAAGAUGCGAUUGUCUUACGAUCAGGUCAGUGUUUGGAUUCUGUUGAUUAUGAUAUUUCUUCCAAUCUUUACAGAUCGAGGCCGAAGAGAAGUGAUCGGUCUUUGUCGGUGCUGUCACCGAUGACAUUCCUCUUGGAUAGCUUCGAUGCUGCCGAGUGGUUUGCGGUUCUUCGAAGGAGAAACAAUUUACAAAGGAGAAACAAUUUGCAACGCCAACUCUGUGGGAAUCGACGAUUCUGUGGUGAUCGGCGAUCUUCCAGAUCUCCGUUGCAUGUGUCGAGCAGGAGAUUUUCAAACGCUGUUCCUCUAAGUUUGGGCCGUGCGGGCCAAUAAAAUCCGUUGACUCACAUGAAGGGCUGUUUGGGCCUGGAGUCAACGAUCGAGGUCCACCUGACGAGUCGAGCACCACAAUUUGAUCGGGGUGUUCGACGUCGUUUAGGGUUUGGCAGAACCAUCUGGCAGCCGUCACCACCGCUGCAAUCUUCGUCUUCGGAGGGAAUUGUCGCCGCUGCGAUGAACCGUGGCGGGGGGCAGCCGAACCGCGGACGUGAGCCGCCGAGAGGAGGUCGUGGAGGCAGUCGCUGGGACGGAGUUCCGAGUGGUGGCCGAGGCAACUUCGUUCAAGGCGGACCUAGCAGGACAGCGGGUGAGGAUGGUGGUUCUCGGGAUGGGCAAGAUAAUAGGGACAAUGUCUUCGAUGACGGUGUAUUCCGGGCAGGCCAAGGGCACACAUAUGAUCAAGGAGGGUACCGGAAUACGGGGUUUCAGCGGCACAAUGCUGCGGACGCCGGUAUGGUAACAAUAAUUUUUAGCGUCGUUUCACAUCUGGUCCUUACUAUGAUAGGUUUGCAAAUAGUCGAAAUCCCCCAGCUCCAAAUGCUUUGAAUGCAAUUCAGCAACAAUUGGUAAGAGAUACCGCAGAGGCCUUAGCACAUCAAAUGGCGGAGGUUUCUAGUCAUAAACAGGGAGCAAAUGCAGACAGUGUGAUGCCCAAUGCCACCCAGAGCAAUGUGUCGCGGAUGGUUUCGGGUCAGCGUAAUGAAGUUAAUCAGCAGCCAACCAAUACCACUAAUGCUACAUAUGCUUUGUUAGCAGUUGCAGGUAUCAAUAAGCAAGUAUCUCAGAACAUAGUUGAAUCUGAUCAUCUAGCCGGAGAUAAUGCAGCAGGGGGGAAGAAAAAGGGUCCGACUUGUUAUCGUUGUGGGAAACCUGGACAUUUUCUGAAUGAUUGCGAGGUAAUCUUAUGUGAUUGUUGUCAGCGUUCUGGACAUAUUACUAAUGAAUGUCCGUUGUUGAAAGCUCCAAGACCUCGGUUGGCCAUGUAUGGUUUGGGCCAUGUCGAUUUGUCUUUUUGGGAGCUACCGCUGUCUGACUCGGUAAAGCCAAGAAUUGAGAACACAAGACUAGGAAGAGUGACUGUAUCCGGGGGAUCUCUUACUGUUGAUGAGGUGAUCACUCAGUUACAAUGGUUUGUUCCAGAUGAUCAAUAUGAGUGGGAGGUGCAAGAAGUGGAGGCUAAUGUCUUUAGGGUGAAUUUUCCAAGCAAGUUGGAUUUGGUACGAGUGCAGCGUUUUGGUCGUUACAAUAUUCCAGAUUCGGUCAUAUCCAUCUCUUUUGAUUUUUGGAAGAAAGAAUUCGAACCUAUUUGGGCACCGGAGGACAUCUGGGUACGGGUGCACCAGUUACCUCCGUUUGCACUUGAUGAUUUUCUGGCUAUAUAUGUGGGCUCUGGGUGACGUCUUUGGAAAGACCAUGAAUAUAGACACUGUUUUCACUCGCGCAAAUAAUGUUUUGCGUAUGUUGAUUACUUGUUUAGAUCCGUCACUAAUACCAACUACUUGGGACUUGAAGAUUAAAAACGAUUUUUAUUGUCUUAGAUUUGAGGUGGAGGGGCAGCAACCCAAUAUUUCACCAGAUGUCACUAUGACUGCAGCAUCAGGGGAAGAUGAUGACCCAAGUGGCAAUGGUUCUGGACAACUAGAGGAUAAUGUAGCGGAUCGGGAGGUUAAGAGGUCCAAGGGUGAGACCAACAAAGAGGCACAGAAUGAUAUAAACAGAAAGUCUAAUGAGUCUAAGGGUAAUACAAAGAAUUUAGCUAAUACACCAGUGCACUUUGGUUCACUUGAUAUCACAAAGCUAAACAGUACUUGGUCAGAUCAUUCUGUUCUAAAUUUGACAGACAAGGGUCUCUCUGAGGCGAGUGGACAGCAAAUGCCUGUUGUUCGCUUUCCGAAUGAUCUAAGUACUGCACAGGUUAUCUAGGCUCAUGUAGAUGUUGCUGUAUCCCCAUUGAUCAAGGAUGCGGCAACCAAGAUGAUACCACUAGUUGAUACUGAGGUUCAUAUCAACGAAUUGAAGAAUACAUGUUUAUAUUAUACUGGGGCAAAUAUGGCAGCCAAUUCAUCUGAUUUUUUGAGGGAGCAACACUUGUCCGCUGUUCGCUCUCCGGCGAGUCGGAAUUCACCGCUGUUCUCUCUGAAUACUGGAAAUGGUGCUACUAAUGUGCUGUUUGGGGUGGCCGGUCGACGUCGGGAGCAUGCAGAUGGUGCACGUCCACUGCAUGGGGCGUGUGAUCCUAGGCAGGAGGCCCGGUGUGCUCAGGCAGUGAGCGAUGGCUCGCCAAAAGCUGCCAGCGCUGGCGGACAGUGCCGGGACGGAGUGUGUGUGCCACUUGUCGACAGCCCAAGGCACGCGCUUCAUCAGCAGCGUAGCAGCCCGAGGCCUAUAUUGCAUGCCGAGCCCAACUUGCAUGGCAAUGGAUGCGUGACACAAGUCCCUGUAUUGGAAGAGGCAAAAACUUUUACUCGUGAGGAGGUUAUUGCAUUUGGCGGGAUUUCGUGUGCGGGGGACUCGUUCUAGUGCAAGGAUCGGAGCUCAACCCAAUGUAGAUGAUUCUCAAUUGCAGAGAGCUAUGGCCUCGGUGCAGCGAAAGUCUAUGUAUAAUUUGCCUGGUUAUUCUUCGUGCGGUGCAUUGGAUACAGGUAUGGGCAUACCUACUUCCGGAGGAGCUGCGAGAUAUUAUGGCUACUGGAUGCAACCAUCUAGUGACGGUCACACGAGACUGUUAUUUCCUGGAUGGCGGCAUAUUAGAAGAAUUGGAGAUGGAUAGUUUUUUAUACUUUUCAUCUUUGUUUGGUAGGUCCUUGUCUCGACUUUAGAUACGGCAUGGUUGUAAUAAGUACACACUUUGAACAUCUUUUAAAUAAAUGAAAUGGUUGUGUGCAUCGAUUGAUGCAGAGGCCGGGCUAUGCUCC
Lolium perenne is the source of this 3545-nucleotide long non-coding RNA. RefSeq lists it as uncharacterized. The record is from RefSeq and is a predicted model, not a curated record. NCBI's taxonomy places the organism in Eukaryota, Viridiplantae, Streptophyta, Magnoliopsida, Poales, Poaceae.